Molecule: long non-coding RNA, 3922 nt
Filed under: Sus scrofa (pig)
Lineage: Eukaryota; Metazoa; Chordata; Mammalia; Artiodactyla; Suidae
Description: lncRNA (ENSSSCG00025035814.1)
Source: RNAcentral
CCCUGUCGUUUCUCAGUCCUAGUACUGAUGCUUGCCACUGUCCACUGGAAAAUAAGGCACCGUGAAAAAGCAGUGAGUUUCAGUUUUAUUCAGGGACCUUACUGAGGAGUGUAGCCUGGGAGACAGUCUCUCAGGUAGCUCUGAGGAGUGGCUCUGAAGAGGUGGGAGGGUGCAGGGGAGCCAGUGUAUAUAUAUAUGAAAUGUUUUGGCUAGGAAAUAUAUAUAGUCAAGCAUAUAUCUCUACUGCUAAUCACAUACACCAGAAACCUCCAGAUAUCUCAAGUUAAGUUAAUGAUUUUAGUGCUUAUCUAUGUAUGAGAAGAUGCAAAAAUCUGGUGUCAUUGAAAUUCUUCCUUAGAUAUGCUGUCUUAGCUAUCUAGAGUCCUUUAUAUCAAAAAGCAAAAUGCUUCAGCCUGAAUUCCUUUCAGAGUGCACGGCAUUUCAGUGACUGCAAUAGCUAAUGACUUGCCCUUGUAGAACUGGAAUGGUGGGUAACAUCCUUUGUUUAUACCACCUUCCUUAUCAUAAAACUGCUGCUGUGGCAAAUAAGACAAAUGCAAGAAUCCUUGGAUGUAUCAGAUCAAUUAAAAGUCAUCACUGUCUUCAGGAAGUAAAUUUUUGAAAAGAGAUCCUAAAGAAUGAGAUGUAGGGGAUGGCAUCUACCCCAACAUCCAUUCCCUACAAAGACUGGAAGGCAGGUGAAGAGAACUACAUAAAGAUGAGACAAAACCAAACAAGAACUACAUAAAGAUGAGACAAAACCAAACAAACAUAACUCGUUUUAGGAAAAGGUAUAAAUAACUACAGAAUUUACUAGAAGACCUUCACAGCCCUGUUUAAUAAUGUGAAUUUUAUCAUGAUCAAAGUCAACCAUUUUCUCCAUCUAAAGACACCUUUAAUUUCUUUCUUGAACUCAAUAGCCUCCUAACACUUCUGCCUCCCAGAGGCCCACUCUCACGUUCCUUCAUCCUAUGUAUGUGGCCCUCUGCUGUUCUCUCGACACUCUUCUUAGGCUACUUGUGUGCUCCUUCAAGCAUCAGACCAAAACCACUCCCUGGAUGUUUUUAGUUUGAUGACUCUGGCACUUCAAUAUGUUCAAACCCAAACUUAUUAUCUUUCUCCAGGGCUGCUUAGCGCAUUACCUUGUACCUCCUUCUCUUAUCCAGACUUUGGCAAUGAUCUCCAAAUUUGUUUCUCUGCCCUGCCCUUGGUCUUCCUUUAUCCAGUCCAUUUACCAUCAGAGUGAUCUCAUAAAAAUAUAAAUUAUUCAAUAGCUUUUCUUUCCACCUGGAAUGAAGUCCAAAGUCAGUAGCUUUCCUGCCUUUGGUAUUUCAUCUAAAAAGUCACCAUCAAACCCAAAGUCAUCAAGAUUUUCUCUCAUGUUAUUUUCUAGGAGUUUUAUAGUUUUACGAAGAUCUGUGGCACCUGGCCAAGAUUGCUUUGCCAGCUAUCCCUACCCCUAGCCUGGGAACCUCCAUAUGCCGCGGAAGCAGCCCAAGAGAUAGCAACAACAACAAAAAGACAAAAUAAAUAAAUAAAUAAAGAAGAAAUUUUUAAAAAUUACAAGACAAAUGGAAAACUGGGGGAAAUAUUUACAUCAUGUAUGACAAAAGGGACAAAGAGUUAGUGUCCUUGAUGCAUAAUAAGCCCUUACAAAUUAACAAAUAAAAGAUAAACAAAGGACAUAGGAAGUUCACCAAAGUAGAAAUGGCUAAUAAGCAUAUGAAAAUACACUGAAUCUCUUCAGUUAUCAAAGAACUUCAAGUUCUAACAAUGAGAAAGAAUUGCUUUGUUUAUUCAAUUGACAAAGUUUUGUUUUAGUGUUUAUUUUUUGUUGUUGUUAAAUGGUAAUACCCUAGGUAGAAUAAAAUGAGAAUUUGACCUUGCUCUAAGGAGUCUUGGAAACCUGCAUCAACCCCUUAAUGUAUACAUAUAGUGUGACCAAGCAAGUCCAUGUCUAUAUUAUUGGAAAUAAUGCCCAAAGAUGCUUAUGAUUAUUAAAAUAGGUUGAAGUUUACAAACAACCUGGAGUUCCCGUCAUAGCUCAGCAGUAACGACUGACUAGUAUCCAUAAGGACACAUGUUCAAUCCCUGGCUUCGCUCAGUGGGUUAAGGAUUCAGCUUUGCCAUGAGACUCAGCUCGGAUCCCUCGUUCCUGUGGCUGUGGUGUAGGCCAGCAGCUACAGCUCCUAUUCCAUCCCUAGCCUAGGAACUUCCGUAUGCCAUGGGUGUGGCCCUAAAAAAAGAGACCAAAAAAAAGUCUACAAACAACCGAAUGUUCAUCAGUAGAGGAGACUAAAUCAAUUAGGUUUUUAUUUUUGGAGUUCCCUAGUAGCUCAGUGGGUUAAGGAUCCAGAAUUGUCACUGCUGUGGCUUGGUUUCCUGCUGUGGCGCUGGUUUCAUCCUUGGCCUGGGAACUUCUGCAUACUGUGGGCAAGGCCAAAAAACAAAAAAAAAAACCCACCACAUUUUAGAAGAAUUAUGAUAAUGUGACAUGGGAAACUGUUCAUGAUAUACUUUAGAGUGGGGAAACCAGGCUACAAAAUAAUACAGUAUGAUUCUAUAUAUGUGGGGAAAACCUCUGGGCUGUAUGUGUCAGGAAUUCUCUUUUACUCAGAAAAGACAGACAAAUUUGAGCAUAUUCUCAGACCUUUUAGCAUUGGCUGAAGGUUUGUGCAUGGUAGAUUUACUUGACAUGCUACUUUUUGCAUUUUCAGUGCAGCUCCUACGUAAAAUACUCGGUCUGCUGAGUUUUGCAUCUACUGACUCUUUGGAGGUAAAGCCAGGCAACCUAGAAGGAAGGUACUGGAUAUUAAAUACGGAUGUUUAUAGAUAACCAACUAUUACUGGUGCUUGUCUCUGGAUGAGGAGACGUGGCAAUUUUAUUUUCCUUAUCUUCACUGUCUAAAUUUUCAAAAACAUAUAUUCAAUAAUUUAUACUGAAAAAUUAAAUUUUAAAGGUAAUUUUGAGGAUAUCUAGUAGAGUGAGAAACAGUAUUUUCUUCCAGAUAGAAGUGUUUAAUGAGAAUUCAGAAGCAAGCUUAGAAAUAAUUACAUAUGUAUAAGUGUAUAUAUAAAAGACCAGAAGUAAAUAAGCCAAAAAUCUCUAUUGGGGUAACCACACUAGGAUUAUUAAUAGUAAAAUUAUGAAAGUAACAUUCCCUCUCUAUACUAAUAAUAUGUUAUAUAAUAUAAUCUAUUAAAUAUAUUUAUACAUGUAUAUGUAAUAUGUAUGGAAUAUAUUUAAUAUAGUAUGUAUAUAUACACAUAUAAAGAUCAAGUGUGUGUGUAUAUAUAUAUACACACACAUACAUAUACAUAUAUAUGUUAAUAUAUAUAUAUAUACACACACACACACACAUAUAUAUUCCUCCAAGGGAAACUUGACCACAUCAAAUUUUCCCUUGGAGCAAAGGGUGACCACUUUAACAUGAAACUGACCCCCAGAUUACAUGCAAAUAUAUGCCUUAGCAGAGAGGAUUUUUAAAUUUAUUUUUUUUUUUUUGUCUUUUUAGGGUCACACCCACAGCAUAUGGAGGUUCCCAGGCUAGGGGUCCAAUCAGAGCUCUAGCUGCUGCCCUACGCCACAGCCACAGCAAUGCCAGAUCUGAGCUGUGUCUGCGACCUACAACACAGCUCACGGCAAAGCCGGAUCCUUAACCCACGAGCGAGGCCAGGGAUUGAACCCGAAACCUCAUGGCUCCUACUUGGAUUCCUUUCUCCUGCUCCAUGAUGGGAACUCCAAGAUAAUUUUUUUAAACAAUUCCUAUUCAGAAUAUUCAGGUUAUGACUAGUGGAAAAACUCAACACAUUCAACAUCUUAGGAGCAGUAUCUACGGCUCUUCCAUGCUCAGAACGUGUUGUGGGGACCCCCUGAAAUGGCUUCGGCUGUGUUCCAAUAAAAUUUUAUUCACUGACAUCG